This is a non-coding RNA of Acanthosepion pharaonis, 109 nucleotides long. The record is from the annotation of a GenBank genome assembly. NCBI's taxonomy places the organism in Eukaryota, Metazoa, Mollusca, Cephalopoda, Sepiida, Sepiidae.
GGCCAUAUAACUUUGAAGAACCGGUUUUCGUACGAUCGCCGAAGUUACGCAACAUUAAGCCUGAUCAGUAUCUAGAUGGGUGACCGUUUGGGAAUGCCAGCUGCCGUAU